AUUGAACGCUGGCGGAAUGCUUUACACAUGCAAGUCGAACGGCAGCACGGACUUCGGUCUGGUGGCGAGUGGCGAACGGGUGAGUAAUAUAUCGGAACGUGCCCAGUCGUGGGGGAUAACGUAGUGAAAAUUACGCUAAUACCGCAUACGAUCUACGGAUGAAAGCGGGGGAUCGCAAGACCUCGCGCGAUUGGAGCGGCCGAUAUCAGAUUAGGUAGUUGGUGAGGUAAAAGCUCACCAAGCCAACGAUCUGUAGCUGGUCUGAGAGGACGACCAGCCACACUGGAGCUGAGACACGGCCCAGACUCCUACGGAGGCAGCAGUGGGGAAUUUUGGACAAUGGGCGCAAGCCUGAUCCAGCAAUGCCGCGUG
Molecule: ribosomal RNA, 372 nt
Filed under: uncultured bacterium
Lineage: Bacteria
Description: bacterial SSU rRNA
Rfam family: Bacterial small subunit ribosomal RNA
Source: RNAcentral